This 1980-nucleotide long non-coding RNA is filed under the name Oryctolagus cuniculus (rabbit). Its description in RNAcentral is "lncRNA (ENSOCUG00000035492.1)". Lineage: Eukaryota; Metazoa; Chordata; Mammalia; Lagomorpha; Leporidae. The record is from RNAcentral.
CCGUUCUUUUUUUCCCUGUAGACGCGGAGCUGACCUCUGCAGAUACAGAGCUCAACUUUCAAACCCGAGUAACAGAUUUUUAAUUGAAGAGUUCCACCUCAGAGGAUAUUGUCCAGGACAAAGGAUGUGAUUCAAAAGCCUACGCUCCACUAGUUCCAGUCUAAAGCCGGGGCGCGCCGGCGGGGGUGGGGGGUGCGCAACUCGGGACCCUCUCUGUUUACCCAGGGAGCCGCUGCUCCACGCACGCCCCCGCCCGCCGCAUCCCUGCUACCUUGGUGCCCAGGUCCUUCCUUUGGUUUGGAAGAUCUGGCUGGAAUUCCAGCCCUAGUGGAAUUCUUAGUGUCCCUUCGAAGUUUCCUCUUUUGAUCUCAGUUUCUCCGUCUGCGAAAUGGAAGUAAUGAUCCCCACGCCUCUUAGCGAUGAUGUGAUAAAAUGAAAGUAAAAAUAACUGGAAAGCGCUUUGAGCAAAGCAACGUGGUGCCCUUGGCGGGUGCCUUCCUGUGUGUGACACUGGGCCUUGCCCCGGGGGUGCCCCGGAGGGGCCGGGUUGCUUGCCACACCGGAUGUUGGCGUUCAGGGGCAGCUUUGAGAAAUCAUUCAUUGUAAGUUUCAGGUAUCUCAUGAGCUUUCUGCUCUGCGGAGUACUUGCUUCAUCCAAUCUAGAGGUGCGCCCUGGAAUCAGAUCAGGAGAAUGCGUGCUCCUUGGGAAUUUCUAACUCACUGGCAGGAGGUUGGGAAACAGAAGCCCAGUGAGAAGGUGGAAGGUCACGCCUUGUUCAAAAGGCCAGCGGGAGCCACAUCCCAGAGGGACCUUGACUUUAGGUGACUUCCCACACAGUGUGCGGAGUGUCCGCAGGAAGGGACCGAGGACAUAAAAGAAAACAUUUCCUGACUUUCUCCGGCUAGAUGAGUAACCUAGGAGCGCAGAGAAUGUGGAUGGGCUGCACGAGAGGCUCGAGAGGCUCGUUCCUUGUAGCUGGGAAGCCCACAGAUCAAAUACGGGGGUUGUGGAGUCUGCACAGGGGCACAGUGGGUAAGGAUUGGGUCCCUGAAGUGACCCAAACUGUCCUUGCAGCCAGGCAGGUGGCUGCUAGACCCGACUUUGCAGCCUCCUGGGUAUGGUUCACCUGGGGGAGGUGAGCAUGAUGGAGGCUUCAGGUGCGGGAGGCGCUGGACAGAAUGUGUAGGAGAGUUCCUGAAAGCAGACAGGGAGUCUUAGCCUUCUCUUGCCCACGGCACCUGUUCUGGGGCCGCCACAGAGACUGCCCAAGGAGUGCCUGCUCUCCCGCCGGCCCAGGGGCCAGAUCAGGGAGGGGGAUGCUGGAGAGCGGAGAGCAGGAGAGGUGAACCGGUCAGCGGCUUGCCGAGAGCGCGGCUGAGGGUCUCGGCCUGUGCUUGUUUCCUGGUGGUGACUCCGACAAGGUCAUUAGGGAGGGAAAAGGACCAGCAAAGGAGGAGACCUGUGUGAGGUGAUUUCAGUGGGCCUGAGUCGCAGCUUGGUCACCAGGUAUCACCAGGUCCCAUUCCUUACUUCACCGAGCAGCAAAGUCUCAACGCUGUGUCCUGUGCCGGCGUCUCCCUCCCCAGUACCCCUAACAGGUGGGCUUCCAGGCUCUGCUCCGAGGCUCCUGCUGGUCACAAGCCUGGAUCUUAACAAUGAACUUCACUUGAUUGUAGGGGAUAUUGCCUGCGGCUCCUUCUUUGCCAUGCACCCGGCCUGGGCUUCCGACUACGAGGGUACUUCCAGAAGUUUGUGGAAAGUACCAUUAAAAAAGAUAAGUUUAUAUUGAGGCAAGAUACUUUGAAAUUCAUGCCUGUUUUUUUUUUUUCCAUAGUCUGCAUUUUCACAUGAAUUUUUUGAAGAUCUCUCAUACACUGGUGUCAGUCGCAGGGACCAGAGAGGCCCCUUUCUUCCCUGGGGGUCAUUUCUGGCCCUUCUCCUGGCAGAGUGCAGGGUUCUCGCCCUUGAGUCUCUGCCCC